AUCACUUCUCGGCCUUUUGGCUAAGAUCAAGUGUAGUAUCUGUUCUUAUUAGUGGUGCAUUAAGCCCGUGGAAAACAAAAACAAGCAAAAAGAACUCAAGUUAAAAUACUCCAGGUCAUACUAAGACAAAAUUUUCUAAUGUUAUUCUCCCUUCUGUGGCUCACUUUGAUUUCAAUAAUGCACAGAACUAACGGCUAGGUUUGAUUACUUGCAGUUGUGCAAAC
This is a small nuclear RNA of Oryctolagus cuniculus (rabbit), 224 nucleotides long. Its record names the gene U2. It matches the Rfam family "U2 spliceosomal RNA". Rfam says of the family: U2 is a small nuclear RNA (snRNA) component of the spliceosome (involved in pre-mRNA splicing). Complementary binding between U2 snRNA (in an area lying towards the 5' end but 3' to hairpin I) and the branchpoint sequence (BPS) of the intron results the bulging out of an unpaired adenosine, on the BPS, which initiates a nucleophilic attack at the intronic 5' splice site, thus starting the first of two transesterification reactions that mediate splicing. NCBI's taxonomy places the organism in Eukaryota, Metazoa, Chordata, Mammalia, Lagomorpha, Leporidae. The record is from Ensembl.